GAUGAACGCUGGCGGCGUGCCUAAUACAUGCAAGUCGAGCGAACGGACGAGAAGCUUGCUUCUCUGAUGUUAGCGGCGGACGGGUGAGUAACACGUGGAUAACCUACCUAUAAGACUGGGAUAACUUCGGGAAACCGUAGCUAAUACCGGAUAAUAUUUUGAAACGCAUGGUUCAAAAGUGAAAGACGGUCUUGCUGUCACUUAUAGAUGGAUCCGCGCUGCAUUAUCUAGUUGGUAAGGUAACGGCUUACCAAGGCAACGAUGCAUAGCCGACCUGAGAGGGUGAUCGGCCACACUGGAACUGAGACACGGUCCAGACUCCUACGGGAGGCAGCAGUAGGGAAUCUUCCGCAAUGGGCGAAAGCCUGACGGAGCAACGCCGCGUGAGUGAUGAAGGUCUUCGGAUCGUAAAACUCUGUUAUUAGGGAAGAACAUAUGUGUAAGUAACUGUGCACAUCUUGACGGUACCUAAUCAGAAAGCCACGGCUAACUACGUG
This 497-nucleotide ribosomal RNA is filed under the name uncultured bacterium. Its description in RNAcentral is "partial 16S ribosomal RNA". It matches the Rfam family "Bacterial small subunit ribosomal RNA", at positions 28 to 507 of the family's 1533-position model. The record is from RNAcentral.